GUGAUUUCUAAUAGGUACUAUUCCGAAGAAAAUAUAAGAAAAUUAGACGUUGAAGUUUGACAUAAGAUUUUUGUACACUUUUGUUACCUGUUGGCUGUUGUCUCCCAAAGCCACCAUGAUUCAAACUUCAUAGUUGCUGAUCGUUGCUCCCUGUGUUGUGGACAAGACGCAGAGAAACGUU
Molecule: long non-coding RNA, 181 nt
Organism: Maniola jurtina (meadow brown)
Lineage: Eukaryota; Metazoa; Arthropoda; Insecta; Lepidoptera; Nymphalidae
Exons: 3
Source: RefSeq, a predicted model, not a curated record